UGGGUCACCUCCCAUCCGUGUCUAUCUGUACCCUGUUGCUUCGGCGUGGCCACGGCCCGCCGGAGACUAACAUUUGAACGCUGUCUGAAGUUUGCAGUCUGAGUUUUUAGUUAAACAAUCGUUAAAACUUUCAACAACGGAUCUCUUGGUUCCGGCAUCGAUGAAGAACGCAGCGAAAUGCGAUAAUUAAUGUGAAUUGCAGAAUUCAGUGAAUCAUCGAGUCUUUGAACGCACAUUGCGCCCCCUGGUAUUCCGGGGGGCAUGCCUGUCCGAGCGUCAUUGCUGCCCUCAAGCACGGCUUGUGUGUUGGGCUUCCGUCCCUGGCAACGGGGACGGGCCCAAAAGGCAGUGGCGGCACCAUGUCUGGUCCUCGAGCGUAUGGGGCUUUGUCACCCGCUCCCGUAGGUCCAGCUGGCAGCUAGCCUCGCAACCAAUCUUUUUAACCAGGUUGACCUCGGAUCAGGUAGGGAUACCCGCUGAACUUAAGCAUAUCAAUAA
This 498-nucleotide unclassified non-coding RNA is filed under the name Aspergillus cristatus. Its description in RNAcentral is "sequence contains ITS1, 5.8S rRNA gene and ITS2". The stretch from base 126 to 279 matches the Rfam family "5.8S ribosomal RNA". Lineage: Eukaryota; Fungi; Ascomycota; Eurotiomycetes; Eurotiales; Aspergillaceae. The record is from RNAcentral.